UCCGUAGGUGAACCUGCGGAAGGAUCAUUAAAUAAUCAAUAAUCUUGGCUUGUCCAUUAUUAUCUAUUUACUGUGAACUGUAUUAUUAUUUGACGUUUGGGGGAUGUUCCAAUGUUAUAAGGAUAGACAUUGGAGAUGUUAACCGAGUCAUAAUCAGGUUUAGGCCUGGUAUCCUAUUAUUAUUUACCAAAUGAAUUCAGAAUUAAUAUUGUAACAUAGACCUAAAAAAUCUAUAAAACAACUUUUAACAACGGAUCUCUUGGUUCUGGCAUCGAUGAAGAACGCAGCGAAAUGCGAUAAGUAGUGUGAAUUGCAGAAUUCAGUGAAUCAUCGAAUCUUUGAACGCACAUUGCGCCCAUUGGUAUUCCAAUGGGCAUGCCUGUUCGAGCGUCAUUUGUACCCUCAAGCUUUGCUUGGUGUUGGGCGUUUGUCUUUCGAGACUCGCCUUAAAAAGAUUGGCAGCCGGCAUACUGGUUUCGGAGCGCAGCACAAAUUGCGGUCUGUUCCUGAAUGUUGACGUCCAUGAAGCCCCCAUUAUCACUUUUGACCUCGGAUCAGGUAGGGAUACCCGCUGAACUUAAGCAUAUCAAUAAGCGGAGGAA
RNAcentral lists this ribosomal RNA (602 nucleotides) under uncultured fungus. RNAcentral's name for it is "eukaryotic LSU rRNA". The stretch from base 240 to 393 matches the Rfam family "5.8S ribosomal RNA". The record is from RNAcentral. Lineage: Eukaryota; Fungi.